AAGAUGCUGUGAAUAUUGUUGACAUGACAAGAAAGGAUUGAGGAUAUUACAUAAACAUAAAGGGCUUAAGGGGCAGCAGGGCUUUAGAAGAUUGACAUCAAUUUUUAAUGAAGUUCUACUGUGGUAAAAAUGCUAUAAAAUAGUAUGGCAUGAUACAAGGAAAUUGUUUGUGAAGGAAAGAGUAAAUCAAUGAGGCAAACUAUAUUGUUUUCUUAUUUUAAGAAAUUGUCGCAGUCACUCCAGCCUUCAGCAACCACCAACCUGAUCAGUCAGUAGUCAUCAACGUUGAGGCAAGACCCUCCACCAGCAAAAAUAUUACAAUUCACUAAAUCUCCAAUAAUGCCUGAGGGAAAGCCUGGAUCUGAUAAUUGUAUGUACUCCUGAAUAAUGCAGAGGCAAAUUUCCUGACCUCUUGGGUGUUUCUUGCAGCAAAGAAUGAACACAAGGAGAAGCUAAGGUGGAACUGAAUCCUUUCUCUUGAGUGUAAGCUGGAUUCAGUGAUUCAUGGAACACAACCUGCCACGAAUAACCCUGUCAAGUGGCCUGUGUGGGGAGAUACUGAAGCCUCUUUCCAACAAAAUCUGGAAGCAAACUCUUCAGUUCUCAUCACAUCUUCAGACUCUACAACCCUGGCCAACAGCCUAACUGCAACCUCACAAAAAACCCUCUCCUCUCUGAGACAGAACCCACUCCCAGAUUCUUGAUCCUCAGAAACUGUGUGAGAUCACAAAUAUUGAUUGUUCUAAGCAAAAAAAACUUAAUAGAAAGUUUUUUAGGGGUAAUAGAAAACUAAUUCAUCAUCUAAGGGGAUGCCUGAGUAAGAGCCACCCAGGGAACAAGAGUAGCAAGUACAAAGAUCUCAUGGAGGGAGCCUGACUGUUUUGAGUAGAACUAACAGGAGAGUAAACUGAGGGAAAGUACAAGCAGAUGGUGACUAAAAGGUAACAUCAGAUUAGAGCACGCCAGUCUUAAGAGCCAUUGUGAAUUAACUAUAAAAGGAUGUAAUCUGGAAAGAUUGAAGGUAGUAGCCAGAGAAUGGAUGAUUGAAACUGAAAUUAUGGAGGGGUACAGUUAGUCAAGGAUAUGAGAGAAGACUGGAAACAAAAUUAUUAAUGAAGAGGUAAAAAGUUUGAAGAAAAAAAUCAAGUUUUAGGGUCUUCUUAUGAAGAUUUCAGUUUGUUUCUCUCCUGCAUAUGUAUACUAUCAGGCAAAAUGCUCAAUGGAUCAUCUCAAUUUGAACAUCAUCAUUAAUAGCAAAACAACCCAAAAGGUAUUAUUUUAUUGCAAA
Canis lupus familiaris (dog) is the source of this 1288-nucleotide long non-coding RNA. RefSeq lists it as uncharacterized. NCBI's taxonomy places the organism in Eukaryota, Metazoa, Chordata, Mammalia, Carnivora, Canidae. The transcript is spliced from 3 exons. The record is from RefSeq and is a predicted model, not a curated record.